AACCCCCUCCUUAGUUGCUACCAUUUAGUUGAGCACUCUAAUGAGACUGCCGGUGAUAAGCCGCGAGGAAAGUGGGGAUGACGUCAAGUCCUCAUGGCCCUUACGGGCUGGGCUACACACGUGCUACAAUGGCGGUGACAAUGGGAUGCUAAGGGGCGACCCUUCGCAAAUCUCAAAAAGCCGUCUCAGUUCGGAUUGGGCUCUGCAACUCGAGCCCAUGAAGUUGGAAUCGCUAGUAAUCGUGGAUCAGCACGCCACGGUGAAUACGUUCCCGGGCCUUGUACACACCGCCCGUCACACCAUGGGAGUUGGUUUUACCUGAAGACGGUGCGCUAACCCGCAAGGGAGGCAGCCGGCCACGGUAGGGUC
This 369-nucleotide ribosomal RNA is filed under the name Bradyrhizobium sp. 1027b. RNAcentral's name for it is "bacterial SSU rRNA". It matches the Rfam family "Bacterial small subunit ribosomal RNA", at positions 1101 to 1469 of the family's 1533-position model. Lineage: Bacteria; Pseudomonadati; Pseudomonadota; Alphaproteobacteria; Hyphomicrobiales; Nitrobacteraceae. The record is from RNAcentral.